UUCUGGGGACCCUCAAUCUGCUCUUUGUCGGCCAGGUCCCUCUGUAGAGGGGACCGACACCUCGCCAAAGAGUAAGUUUUCCCAGAUCACCGUGAGGCACAUUUUUUGAGCGAACUGAGAAGAGGAGGGGGCCCUGCAGAAGGACCCCAAGGAGGACACUACACAAAGAAGAAUCAGAAGAUCUACACAUUCGUCAUGACAAGGAUGAGCUGAAGCACUGGUCAUACAACAUGUGCCUGUCCUGCUAGUCUGCUACCCUCCUGGCCCUGUGGAACCCUGAUUCCAGAGCCUUGGACAGCUGUUCAGUGUUUUGCCUCUGCUGUCAGACUGUCUGGAUUUGAACACUAGCCCAGACAUCCUGGACAAGUCAUGCAACCUCUCUAAGCCUGUCAUCAUCUGUAAAAAGGGUUUAACUAUAGUACAUUCCUCAGAUAGCUGAUGGGGGGCUGAAAUAAGAUAUUCUACGUAAAGUACUUAAUGCCUGGCACUUAGUAAGUAAUCUGAAAUUUUUAGCUAUUGCUGAAAACUAUUGUUUCUGGCACCAGUCCAUGAUUUCAGGAUCAAAGCUGACUUCUUUGGAGACUGCAAGGGACUUCCCUCAACUUGCACAGCUUAUUUGCCUCAGGUCUCACCCUGUCCACUGAUAACCCCUAGAGACCACACUAUGGGCCCCUGAACUCUCUCCUAGGAGCUGAUGUUCCCACAUAUCUACCUGCUGACCACCCAAGCCCUGACACAUGUACUUUUAAGGCCUAAUCUGUAGAAACACUUAUUAUUGACAAAACUCCCAUGGGUACUGUAUUUGAUUAUCUCCCUACCCUCCCUUUGAAACCCUUUGGUAUGGAGUGUCGGUAAAGCUAGAAAGGAAUUCCUUUAAGUAAGACGGCAGGUUGUGUGGACCCUGGAGAAGGAGCUGGUCAUUGCCCUUGGGGGCCCUGCUCUCUAUCUGAUGUAGACUAAUAUACAGACAGACAAAAGCUCACUCAAGAUACUGGACCCAAUGGAAGCCAGGCAGUCAGUCCAGGAGAGUUCAGAGAAGGGCCCUAGAGCAAGUAGGAGCCUCUAGUGACAAAUUGGGCUUGUCUAGGUAGAGAGACGAGGGAAGGGUGCUCCAGGCAGGGGGCACAGUUUGAACAAAGUGGGAGAGGCUGGAAAAUGCCAAGUUUUCUGGAAACCAGAUCAAUGGGAUUAUACUGGGAAGGUAGGGGUUGGGGGUGGGAUCGUGGAGGGCCUUGAACACCAAAGCUGAGUGGUGGUCUUGCAACCACAGGUGGUAGGAAGCCCUCUCUGAUGAGAAGACAAUUUUCCUGCACUUUUCCUAGCCCAGCAAGGAGGGCCCAGGCCACCUUCAAUACAUGUUGUUAACAUAGAUGCUGACACACACAUACAAUUACAUAUGCAUAGGAAAAAAUCUGAAAGGAUUCAUAACAAACUUUUAACAGUAUUUACACCUGAAGAAUAAGCUAAGGGAAAAGGAACUUUAGAGUUUUGUGUUGCAUGUUUUGGUAUUGUUUGAAUUCAUCAUGACAAGCAAAUAUCAAUUUUCUCAUUAAAACAACAAUAAAGCCUUUUUUCUAAGGCAAGAUUUGAUGAAUGAAUAAAUGAGUGACCGAAUGGAUGAAUGAGAUGGGUAAAUGAAGAGACAGUUUGGCAGAGGGCUCAGUCUCUCGCUCUAAACCUGUCUCCUCAGCAAAGAAGGCUAGGGAGUGGAAGGUGAGCUGGGCCCUUCUGGCUGGGCCAGGAGAAGUGCAAGAUAAUUGAGUAAGGCGUGGGCCCCACCCUAGAACAACUCUCUGCCUGGUCAGGGAGGCAGUCAGAAAUACAGUGUUAGAGACAACGAUAGGUGAUUCAGGAGCCAGGGGGCCUCAGAACUGGGGGGGGGUCUAGGGUCAGGGAGGGCCUCCCCUAGUAGCUGACGUUCAGGCAGAAACCUAGCUGCUGAGUAGCAGUUGGCCAGGCAGAGGAGCAAGAGGGAAAGAAUGUUCCAGGUAGAGGAAGGCUUGGCCAGCUGGGGCAUGAAAGGGCAGGGCCAACUGUGGACUGGUUAGUAAUAAUGCCUCUUUCUGCUCAGGGCCAGCAGUGCAGGGAGUGGCAGGAGGUAGAGCUGACUGAGAACUGGAGCCAGAUUGUGUACUUCAGCCCCAGGCAGCCCACAGAGGGUUUUAAGCAGAGACGUCUGAUUCCUGGAGGUCAUCAGAUGCAGCACAUGAUGAAGUCUGAACCGUGAGAGCAGAAGGGGAAAGAGAGGACAGAGGUCAGGAACUCACAUCCGCUAAGACCCUGCUGGUGGCUUAGCGGUUAAGAGCUUGGCCGCUAACCAAAAGGUCGGCAGUUCAAAUCCACCAGCCUCUCCUUGGAAACUCUAUGGGGCAAUUCUAUUCCACCAGCCUCUCCUUGGAAACUCUAUGGGGCAAUUCUACUCUGUCCUAUACGGUUGCUAUGAGUCCAUAUAUUCACUAACUAUUAUAUAGGUCAAGUCUAUGAAUAAAAUUCAGUUAACUAUGGUACU
Molecule: long non-coding RNA, 2509 nt
Organism: Loxodonta africana (African savanna elephant)
Lineage: Eukaryota; Metazoa; Chordata; Mammalia; Proboscidea; Elephantidae
Exons: 3
Source: RefSeq, a predicted model, not a curated record